Molecule: long non-coding RNA, 1705 nt
Organism: Equus caballus (horse)
Lineage: Eukaryota; Metazoa; Chordata; Mammalia; Perissodactyla; Equidae
Source: Ensembl
CCCUGGCUGGGCCUGGGCCACCUGACCGCUCCUGGUGGUGGGAGUGGGAUCUCAGUGGACAAAAUGUGGAGGAGGAGACAGUUCAUUCCACAAACGUUUACUGAGCAUCUACUGUGUGCCUGGCCCUGUCCUAGGUGCUGAGGACACAGAGGUGAACCAGACAGAAAGCACCCUGCUCUCAGGCAGCCGGCACUCUAGGAGCCAUUCUAAUAAAUGUGAGAUGGUGUCUCAUUGUGCUCCUGAUUCGAAUUUCCCUGAAGAUCAGGGAUGUCAAUCGAGUAUCUUUUCACGCGCUUGUGGGCCAUCGUCUGGGGAUCUCACGACUCUGUUCUGAAGGAGGCUCAGGCCGUGGGCGCCAGCCUCCUUGCCCGUGGCGGGGCCACCGAGGGCCCCAGGGCUGGCUGCUCAAGCCAGGCAGGAGCUGGUGCCCGAGGCAGGUGUGGCGGCGCUGUAUCCCACGUCCACAAAGGGGUCGCCACUGAGCUUCUCACUCGGCACUGAGACACACGCCAGGGGCCCAGGGAAACCCCGGUGAUGCCCUCAUCCCAGAUACAGGCGCCAACGGGAGACGCUGUCAGAGGAGCCCUUCCUCGGAGCACCCGGGAGGACGGCGCUGGCUGCCAUCGCCUGGUCCCUGGCUUUUCGAGUCCCAGCCGGCGCUGGCGGGGUGAUGCCACUGUGCCCCACACUCUUCCUUCAAUCAGCUUGCUUUUCCUUUUUAAAAUUCAUAAGCGAGGGGCCAGCCCGGUGGCGCAGUGGCCAUCAUUGAGCGCCAGCUGUGUCCCAGGCACUGUUGAAGGCAAGGGCCACUGGAGGGGGCAGACGACGGUGAGGACGCUGCACACUGACUGCACGGGGCUCAGUGCUUUGGAAAGAAGAAACGGCACAGCAGGUUGUCCCGUUCCUUCCUCACCUUGUUUGGUGAGGCCCUCCCCAGACAGAAGAACUGCGUCCGGGGAGAGUAGACUGGCUCCCAGGCCCAAGGCAUCCUGGGAAGGAGGAAGGAGAAGAACCCAUGAGGCCGAGGGCGGCUGUGCCUCCGCCUCCCCUCCCCCAGGCUGGAACCCCCACCCCAGCUGCUCCGGGCACCAGCUCCCAGCCUGCGGGGCUGUGGGGAGAGGACCGCCAGCCUGGGGUUUCCAGCUUUCUGGGAAAAAAGUCAACAUCCACUAUGGAUCUGGUCUGGCCCCCUCCCGUGUCCACUGUCCUCCCCCAGGUCCCCCGACCCUGGUAGGACCCCUCCCCACCCAUGUCCAGGGCGGAGGGAGGGUCACAGUGGGCGGGCAGGGGUUAAUUCCUGGAGCCGGCGUGCUCCUCCCACCUCUGGACGAUCUGUCUCUGUCCUCAGCCAUUGGUGACCUUUUUUUUCCAUGACCACAAUCUUCCCCCUUUGAACUAUUAUGUGCUAAAUAUAUAUUUUUUUUAAUUUUCUACACUUGUGCAGCCUUGAAUCCAUUCAUUUAAAAGGAAAAGUUUAUAUUAAUGUCCUAAUGGGAAAACCCUGCUCGUUGCCCCAAACAGCCUGUGAAUUUCAAAAGAAAAAGUAACACAAGGAAGGUGAAACUGUGGAUUUUAGCUGGAUAAACCCGGGGCCACCAAAUGCUAAACGCCUUAGCUCCCUGGAGAGCCUUUCUCCGGGCCCUGGGGACAGGCUGCCUGCCUGCGGAUCUCCUCUUUGCCACUUGGUCGCUGUGCCUCAGUUUCC